UCAAAAGCAAUUUUUUUAGAUGUACUCUAUUUGAACUCAAGAACGUGGCUGUGCAGGAAUAGGAAGAUUUUGGGGAGUUAAAGCCCCUGAUUUUUAAGAAACCCAAAAAGGGAGUAGAUAUGUCUAUUGGGUGAACACUGAAUCCUUCCAUUUUACCAUUCUUGGGGUGCAUUGAAACCUAAUUGAAUGUCAAUGAUAAUUAAUGACAUCUAUUGAAGGCUAAGUGUUUGAUGAUUUGCCAAAGUGAGAUGUGAGAUUGGAUGUGUAAAUACAUUAAAUCUCUUUAACCAAUUCUUUUGUGUUGAUUGGAGUCAUAUGUGAUGUCAAAGAAGGUUUGUGAGGUCUACUGAAGAUUAGAAGUGGUAUUUGCUAGGGAAUGAGAGAAAAUUGAAAAUGAAGGGAAAGGUACUUGUGUGGGUGAUUAGAAUAUCGAGAAGGACUUCAAUGUGCAUUAAAGAAGUUGUAUGUGGUAUCCCAAUGUUGAAGAAACCCACUUCUUGAUGGAGAAUUGGUGAUGAUGAUGAGUUUGCUCAAGUGACUUGUUCAAUUAGCGCGCUCUAGCCAGGUUACUGGGCUCGACAAGAGAGCUUUGACCACAUGGAUGUGACCCUUAGCCUCUUCUACAGGUGGUUCCAUGCAUGUGAGAGUUGUGCGAACUUCCGCAUUCAAAUUACUUGUCCAAAGAUAAUUUCUUAGGCUAAGGGGUGGAUGGAGGAGGAGGAAAGUGGGUCCAAGUCAUUGUAGACAUCAAGCAAGAGUUACCAAAGAUGGAUCAUCGUCCACUUGAGAUAAAACAACUUAGCGACCAGGUCCUGCAACAGUAUCACGAGAUUCAUAGGCCCAUGAUCAAUUGAGGAGAUGCUGUGACGAACUGAGACGUUACCAAGAAGAGUUGGUUGAGACCCAGCAACAGCUCACGCUUUGUAGAGGAAAACUUCAGAGUUCAGACUUGUCAAGAUAAUCUGCACCUCUACCAGUAUGAACUCAGGUCACUACAGCCCCAAUACAAAAUGGUAGGAUGUCCCUACCUACGCCAAGGAAAUUGCAACUAUCCACACUAUGUGCCGAUGCCUGAGCCAGACAGGAUCAGAGAAUAAGCAAGAAAAUGUGCCCCUACAAGAUUGAAAUGUGUCCAAAUCCAUACUGUGAACUCAAGCAUGGCCCUCCAUCAGAAGCUGAUCAUAAUAUAAAAAUCAAGCCUUGCUACUACUAAUACGAGAAAGGAAAUUGCCUCAAAGAUAGUGAUUGUAAUUUCUCACAUGGUGGGGAUUAGGAGUUCAGGAUUUGUGAUAGCUUCAUAAGAACAUUUACUUCCUUGUAUUCAGUUAACUCUUUUUUGGAGUGUAUUGUAACUGUUGAG
This is a long non-coding RNA of Macadamia integrifolia, 1360 nucleotides long. RefSeq lists it as uncharacterized. The transcript has 3 exons. Lineage: Eukaryota; Viridiplantae; Streptophyta; Magnoliopsida; Proteales; Proteaceae. The record is from RefSeq and is a predicted model, not a curated record.